AACGAACGCUGGCGGCAUGCCUAACACAUGCAAGUCGAACGAGACCUUCGGGUCUAGUGGCGCACGGGUGCGUAACGCGUGGGAACCUGCCCUUAGGUUCGGAAUAACUCCCCGAAAGGGGUGCUAAUACCGGAUAAUGUCUUCGGACCAAAGAUUUAUCGUCUUUGGAUGGGCCCGCGUUGGAUUAGCUAGUUGGUAGGGUAAAAGCCUACAAAGGCGACGAUCCAUAGCUGGUCUGAGAGGAUGUUCAGCAACACUGGGGCUGGGACACGGCCCAGAUCCUUCCGGAAGGCAGCAGGGGGGAUUAUGGGAUAUUGGGUGAAAGCCGAACCCAGCAAGGCCGCGUGGGUGAUGAGGGCCUAAGGGUGGUAAGCUCUUUUACCCGGGAUGAUAAUGACAGUACCGGGAGAAUAAGCUCCGGCUAACUCCGUG
RNAcentral lists this ribosomal RNA (432 nucleotides) under uncultured bacterium. RNAcentral describes it as "partial 16S ribosomal RNA". It matches the Rfam family "Bacterial small subunit ribosomal RNA", at positions 29 to 507 of the family's 1533-position model. The record is from RNAcentral.